CAGUCGCCACGGGAAAACGAGGGGGGCAAGCGUUGUUCGGAUUUACUGGGCGUAAAGGGUGCGUAGGCGGACUGAUAAGUCAGGGGUGAAAUCCCAAGGCUCAACCUUGGAACUGCCUUUGAUACUGUUAGUCUUGAGUUCGAGAGAGGUGAGUGGAACUGCGAGUGUAGAGGUGAAAUUCGUAGAUAUUCGCAAGAACACCAGUGGCGAAGGCGGCUCACUGGCUCGAAACUGACGCUGAGGCACGAAAGCGUGGGGAGCAAACAGGAUUAGAUACCCCUGUAGUCCCUGUCUCUUAUAC
This 301-nucleotide ribosomal RNA is filed under the name uncultured bacterium. Its description in RNAcentral is "partial 16S ribosomal RNA". It matches the Rfam family "Bacterial small subunit ribosomal RNA", at positions 509 to 807 of the family's 1533-position model. The record is from RNAcentral.